Molecule: ribosomal RNA, 497 nt
Filed under: uncultured bacterium
Lineage: Bacteria
Description: partial 16S ribosomal RNA
Rfam family: Bacterial small subunit ribosomal RNA
Source: RNAcentral
GAUGAACGCUGGCGGCGUGCCUAAUACAUGCAAGUCGAGCGAACGGACGAGAAGCUUGCUUCUCUGAUGUUAGCGGCGGACGGGUGAGUAACACGUGGAUAACCUACCUAUAAGACUGGGAUAACUUCGGGAAACCGUAGCUAAUACCGGAUAAUAUUUUGAAGCGCAUGGUUCAAAAGUGAAAGACGGUCUUGCUGUCACUUAUCGAUGGAUCCGCGCUGCAUUAGCUAGUUGGUAAGGUAACGGCUUACCAAGGCAACGAUGCGUAGCCGACGUGAGAGGGUGAUAGGCCACACUGGAACGGAGACACGGUCCAGACUCCUACGGGAGGCAGCAGUAGGGAAUCUUACGCAGUGGGCGAAAGCCUGACGGAGCAACGCCGCGUGAGUGAUGACGGUCUUCCGAUCGUAAAACUCUGUUAUUAGGGAAGAACAUAUGUGUAAGUAACUGUGCACAUCGUGACGGUAACGAAUCAGAAAGCCACGGCUAACUACGUG